CACAGCCAAGGAGGAAGGCCGGCGGGCCUGACCUGGGAAUGGAGGCACAACUUGCUGCAGGUCUCAGUAGGGAAGUCAGGACUGAGGGGGCCACAGGUACCCAGGAACAGGUGGGGCCUGGAGGCUGUGCUGAGCGCGUCCCUGCAAACGGCGUGAAAGGGAACACACCUGAGCGCGAAUCUGGGCUGAACUCUUCACCUCGCCACCUUUACAUCGCAUGCACCACAUUUCCAAGGUCACUCUGCAGCGGCAGCCAUCAGGCUGACGGGGGGUGCAUAACCUAAGGCAGCAGUUCUCGCCAGGGGCCCUCAACAAGCAGCAGCAGCAGCGUUGCUGGAACUUCUUAGAAAUGCAGCCCUUUAGGUCCUGCAUGAAAUCAUCAGCCUGUGCCUGUGUCUGAGCAGCCCUUGGCUAGCUCAAGGAAGG
RNAcentral lists this long non-coding RNA (426 nucleotides) under Heterocephalus glaber (naked mole-rat). RNAcentral describes it as "lncRNA (ENSHGLG00100034794.1)". The record is from RNAcentral. Lineage: Eukaryota; Metazoa; Chordata; Mammalia; Rodentia; Bathyergidae.